Molecule: ribosomal RNA, 253 nt
Filed under: uncultured bacterium
Lineage: Bacteria
Description: partial 16S ribosomal RNA
Rfam family: Bacterial small subunit ribosomal RNA
Source: RNAcentral
UACGGGGGGGGCAAGCGUUGUUCGGAAUUACUGGGCGUAAAGGGCUUGUAGGCGGCCAACUAAGUCAGACGUGAAAUCCCCAGGCUCAACCUGGGAACUGCGUCUGAUACUGGAUGGCUUGAAUUCGGGAGAGGGAUGCAGAAUUCCAGGUGUAGCGGUGAAAUGCGUAGAUAUCUGGAGGAAUACCGGUGGCGAAGGCGGCAUCCUGGACCGACAUUGACGCUGAGGAGCGAAAGCGUGGGGAGCGAACAGG